Molecule: ribosomal RNA, 710 nt
Filed under: uncultured bacterium
Lineage: Bacteria
Description: bacterial SSU rRNA
Rfam family: Bacterial small subunit ribosomal RNA
Source: RNAcentral
CUGACGCUGAUGGACGAAAGCGUGGGGAGCGAACAGGAUUAGAUACCCUGGUAGUCCACGCCGUAAACGAUGCUAACUCGUUUCUGGUUAUUCGGAAUCAGAGACUAAGCGAAAGUGAUAAGUUAGCCACCUGGGGAGUACGAACGCAAGUUUGAAACUCAAAGGAAUUGACGGGGGCCCGCACAAGCGGUGGAUUAUGUGGUUUAAUUCGAUGAUACGCGAGGAACCUUACCAAGACUUAAAUGGGAAUUGACAGAUUUAGAAAUAGAUCCUCCUUCGGGCAAUUUUCAAGGUGCUGCAUGGUUGUCGUCAGCUCGUGCCGUGAGGUGUUAGGUUAAGUCCUGCAACGAGCGCAACCCCUGUCACUAGUUGCCAUCAUUCAGUUGGGGACUCUAGUGAGACUGCCUACGCAAGUAGAGAGGAAGGUGGGGAUGACGUCAAAUCAUCACGGCCCUUACGUCUUGGGCCACACACGUAAUACAAUGGCCGGUACAGAGGGCAGCUACACAGCGAUGUGAUGCAAAUCUCGAAAGCCGGUCUCAGUUCGGAUUGGAGUCUGCAACUCGACUCUAUGAAGCUGGAAUCGCUAGUAAUCGCGCAUCAGCCAUGGCGCGGUGAAUACGUUCCCGGGCCUUGUACACACCGCCCGUCAAGCCAUGGAAGUCUGGGUACCUGAAGUCGGGACCUAACAGGAGCUGCCUAGGUAAACA